GCAGGUUGAGCUGGCUCUCGCCGUGACGGCUGAGGUAGAUGGCACGGGGGGUGACGUGGAUGUUCAUCAAGUAAUAAACGAUGCGGCUCUGGACGUGACCCUGCACCCGGUUCGCCAGGUUCUCACCUUGAUGUUCUCCUCGAUGAUGGCGGGGUCGUCGCAAAUGGAUUCAAUGAACAGAACCUGGGCGGGGGGGGUGCAAAAAGGGGGUCACCGAUUCCCCCCCCCCCGUGUCAUGAGCACUCCUAAAGCAGUGCUGCUGCCCCCCCCCAAGCACACUGUUGUUGCACCCCAGAGCAGUGCUGCUCUCCCUGCUCCAUGCUGGGAGUACCCCCUCCAAAACAGUGUCAUCACCACCCCCGUACUGUGAACACCCCCAAAACAGCGCUGUCUGCCGCUGCCCCCCCCAUGCUGUGAAUGCCCCCCAAAGCAGCACUGCCAUCCCUCCAACAAUGUGCUGUAGCCCCCCCCCAAUUCUAUAAGCCCCCCAAAAUACUUUGUGCUCACACACACACCCCCAUCCCCCCCCCAAAAUUAUGCUGCCAGUACCUUGUAGCCA
Molecule: long non-coding RNA, 559 nt
Organism: Aquila chrysaetos chrysaetos
Lineage: Eukaryota; Metazoa; Chordata; Aves; Accipitriformes; Accipitridae
Exons: 3
Source: RefSeq, a predicted model, not a curated record